RNAcentral lists this long non-coding RNA (881 nucleotides) under Marmota monax (woodchuck). Lineage: Eukaryota; Metazoa; Chordata; Mammalia; Rodentia; Sciuridae. The record is from RNAcentral.
GUUUAAUUAUCCUAAGAUAUGAAAAUAUUCUUUACAUUGUCUUCUAAAAGCUGUAUUUUACCUUUCACAUUGAAGUUUAUAAUCACUGUGAAGUGUUGGGACUAAUUUUGUUUUACUCUUUUUGUAAUUACCACACCUAAUUGUUAUAGCACCAUCUAUGGGAGGGUAAAGGGAUGUUUUUUCCUGUGGAUUUUCAGUGUUACCUUUGUCAAAAUCAAGUGUGCAUCUUCCACUGGUUUGUCCCUUCCCCAAGACCGCACUGCCUUCAUUACCAUGGCUUUAUAUUGAGUUUGAUGUUAGGUGAGCAAGUGUUUUCUCUUUGUUUUUCUUCUUUUUGAGUAUCUUGACUCUUCUAAGUCCUUUGCACUUCCAUAUAAAUUGUAGAAUCAGUUUGUGAAUUCCACAGAUAAUCCUGGUAGGAUUUUCAAAGGGGAUGCAUUGAAUCUAUAGAUCCUUCAGGGAAGAAUUGAAAUCUUUAAAAUAUUGUCCAAUCUUUAUGCCUUCCUGAGUUUUGCUCAGUAGUUUUGUUACAUUUUUCGCUAGAUGGUUGAUAAAACUAUUGUAAGUUACAUUUUUAUUUAUUUAUUUUGAUGCUGGCAAUUGAGCCCAGGCCCUUGUGCAUGUCAGGCAGGUGCAUUGCCACUGAGCUCUGCCUGCAGCCCUACAUCUUCAAAAUAUCGUUUUCUAGCUCUUGGUUUCUCAUUUGGUCAUUAUACACCCCCAUGUAGGAAUGUGAAGGAGAUAAAAAAUUUUUUGUUAACAUUUCUGAAAAUAAUCUUGAAUUUAUCCUCUUGAUUGAUAGUUUGGCUGCAAACUAUCAAUUUUGAGAUCAUUGUUGAGUGGUCUCUUACUGUCCAGUGUGGCAAGGGGAAUUGGUUCUU